RNAcentral lists this transfer RNA (75 nucleotides) under Chitinophaga rupis. RNAcentral describes it as "tRNA_Ile_GAT". It matches the Rfam family "tRNA". From Rfam's summary of the family: Transfer RNA (tRNA) molecules are approximately 80 nucleotides in length. Lineage: Bacteria; Pseudomonadati; Bacteroidota; Chitinophagia; Chitinophagales; Chitinophagaceae. The record is from RNAcentral.
GGUGACUUGGCGCAAUGGUAGCGCACUACGCUGAUACCGUAAAGGUUGAUAGUUCGAAUCUGUCAGUCACCACAA